RNAcentral lists this long non-coding RNA (209 nucleotides) under Salvia miltiorrhiza (redroot sage). RNAcentral describes it as "long non-coding RNA (SMIL_LNC013460)". Lineage: Eukaryota; Viridiplantae; Streptophyta; Magnoliopsida; Lamiales; Lamiaceae. The record is from RNAcentral.
ACAUUACUACACAUCAAAUGCAACACCAUUCCUUGUUUAAUACCAUCAGCCGACAAGGAAUCAAUAAAGGAAAAUCAUUAAAGCAAUAAAGGAAAAUCAUUAAGGUUAGUGGAAAGAAAUAAGUGUGCUGCCACCAUCCUUUGAUCCCCACCUCUUCAACCACCAAAAGCCAUGCUUUCCUCCCUUUACAGCCACCAACUUCACUCCUU